UACAUGCAGUCGAGCGAAUGACGAGAAGCUUGCUUCUCUGAUUUAGCGGCGGACGGGUGAGUAACACGUGGGCAACCUGCCCUACAGAUCGGGAUAACUCAGGGAAACCUGGGCUAAUACCGGAUAAUCCUUCGAAUCACAUGUUUUGAAGUUGAAAGGCGCUUCGGCGUCACUGUAGGAUGGGCCCGCGGUGCAUUAGCUAGUUGGUGGGGUAACGGCCUACCAAGGCAACGAUGCAUAGCCGACCUGAGAGGGUGAUCGGCCACAUUGGGACUGAGACACGGCCCANACUCCUACGGGAGGCAGCAGUAGGGAAUCUUCCACAAUGGACGAAAGUCUGAUGGAGCAACGCCGCGUGAGUGAUGAAGGUUUUCGGAUCGUAAAACUCUGUUGUAAGGGAAGAACAAGUACGUUAGGAAAUGAACGUACCUUGACGGUACCUUAUUAGAAAGCCACGGCUAACUACGUGCCAGCAGCCGCGUAAUACGUAGGUGGCAAGCGUUGUCCGGAUUUAUUGGGCGUAAAGCGCGCGCAGGUGGUUUCUUAAGUCUGAUGUGAAAGCCCACGGCUCAAC
RNAcentral lists this ribosomal RNA (574 nucleotides) under Kurthia gibsonii. RNAcentral describes it as "bacterial SSU rRNA". It matches the Rfam family "Bacterial small subunit ribosomal RNA", at positions 52 to 613 of the family's 1533-position model. The record is from RNAcentral. Lineage: Bacteria; Bacillati; Bacillota; Bacilli; Caryophanales; Caryophanaceae.